GAAGCCAGUAUUAUAAUAAGCUGCAUCCAAAGGACCACCCAGAGUCACACCGUCCUUUGUAAGACAGUCACAGCAGGUGUCUUGGUUAUCCGUUUGCUGUAUAACAAGCCACCUCAAAACUUAGGGGCUUAAGACAACAGUGAUCACUUAUUUUGCUCAGGAUGCUGCCAUCUGGGCAGGGGUUGGUGGGGACAGCUGGCCUCUGCUCCCCAUCGCAUUAGCUGGGUUACUCAACUAGAGGUGGGAGGAUCACUUUCCAAGUGGCCCAUCUGGCUGGGGAGUUGGUGCUGGCUGUCAGCUAGGAGCCUGCUGGGUCCUCAGCUCCAUAUGUGUCUCUCUACCCACCAUUUGUACUUCCUCACAGCAUGGUGGCCGAGUCUCCAAACAGAAGGCAGAAGUGCAUGACUUUUUUACUACCUAGCCUCCAAAGCCACAUGGUGUCACUUUAGCUAUACUCCAUUGGUCGAGAUAGUCACAAAGAUCUGCCCUGGUUCAAGGAGGAGGGGGAGAGGGAAGGUUCUAGAAGAGCAUAUGGCAUGAGAGAUGCUGCUCCACCAUCUUCAGAAAAUGGCAAUGUCAAAGCAGGUGAUGGCAAUCCAGGGUCAGGUGAUGGCUAGACACCUAGGCAGGCAGCCAACCAAGGCGUCAGCACCCAACUGGGAUUUGGUGGCAGGACCUCGGCCCCUGAGUUGGGGGACAGCUGAUAAGAGCACAGCCAAGCCUGGGACUUUAUCAGCAGAUGGUGUAACAGAGUGGUCAAGAGCAGAUUCUCGAACCAGAUUCCCUGCAUUUGAAUCCUGGCUUCACCAAUUAGUAGUUUAAGAUCUGGGGCAAGGAGACUGACCCCUCUUGGCCUCGGUUUCCCCAUCUGUUAAAUGGGAUAACAAUAGAACAUACCUCACAGGUUUGUUGUGAGGAUUCAGCCAGUUAAUAGAGGUAAGAGCUUAGAACAGUGUCUGGCCCUCAGCAAAUGCUGUGUAAGGAUAAGCUAAUGUUGGUAAUAGACUCUUUUCACAGAAAAGCACCAGAAACCAAACAGGGAACAGAACUGCCAAAUGGUGUGUAUCAGAGCUCCGAAGAGAGGCAGACUUCCAGGAAUGAGAACUUCUGACUGUCGUGCUCAGGACAGUGGAUGCUUUGAGGGCUGCAGGUAUCGUUUUCCAAGCCACAUCCUGUACGGUGCUCCUUGGAAAGGGGCUUCCAAAGUCAGGCCAGCUGUAGGAGCCGGGUGUGCUGACCAGGGUCUCCCUUCUGUUGAUGGAGACACUGAGCUUCGAGACGGAACACACCCAAGAACAUACAACUAGAAAGUGGCAGCAUUGGAACUGGAGCCAGCUGCCACGGGGGGGACUCACUCAUACUUGUAUACAAGUAACAUGGGAGUACGUUCAGAUUGUAUGUGAAAUAAACAUGAAACUCUUUUCGGGCCCCAGAAGUCACCUCCCUCCAUAGCUGACUGCCCUUAUGUGUCAAGUUGUGUCCUUCACAUACACGCACACAGUUGUGUCCUUUUCACACACACACACACACACACACACACACACUUGCUAUUAUAAAAAUAUA
Acinonyx jubatus (cheetah) is the source of this 1563-nucleotide long non-coding RNA. RefSeq lists it as uncharacterized. The transcript has 3 exons. NCBI's taxonomy places the organism in Eukaryota, Metazoa, Chordata, Mammalia, Carnivora, Felidae. The record is from RefSeq and is a predicted model, not a curated record.